AGCGGACAGCAGUUCGGACGAGGGCUCGCUUAAUAAUCCUACAGAAUAGCAGCAGGAGACUAUUAGGGCCCGCGCAAGGCCUUAAGCUGUGGCGCAAGCCCAUCCUUGGGCGGUUGUACCCCUGGCUUGGGAAAAGCAGCCGCGGGGAACACGAACCGCUCCUUUGUUCCUGUAGUGACCUGGUUUGAGUAGUGAGACCCGUUGGAAGUUACCUGCUGCCUCACAGGCCACAGACAGAGAAAAGAGAGCAGCACCUGAAUUGGCAAUGCAGAUGCUACAACCUCACCCUAAUUCUUCUAGCACAAAAGAGGCCUUUUAGAAGAUGUUCCUGCCACAUCUCAUGCCCUGGGGAUAGUGAAUGUCACAUGACCAGAAGUGAUAAAGGGGAGAAGAACUUACAUACACUGUGGGAAGACCUAUGUCCAUGAUAACUUCUUGUCCCUUGUGAGAGCCUGGCAAGGGCUAGAAGAAGCCCUGGAGACCCAAAACUGUGGCAAGCCAUGUGACGAUGUCACCGCAUGGUCUAACAUGGCAGUGGGCAUCCCUGUCCCCACCAGGAUUCAGAAAAGGCCAGGAGGGACAGCCAGGAGUAAGAUGAGGUAAGGUAAGUGUGUUGCAAAUGCAGCCCUGCUCUAAGAGAAGUAUGACCAUUUGCUUUGUAAAUAAUUCAGAAUGGCCUUUUGCAUUCCUCUAUGAGGCAAAGGUGAGGAACAAAGAGUCUGCUUUUAUCCAAGUUUGACACUUUCAUAUGCUCCACAGUGGCCAUUUUGUGACUGAUACCCACAGCACCUUCUCACAAAUCUAUAGGUUCCCACAGGUUCACUAAGCUAGGAACUCCAGGAAAUAAUAAUCUUAUUUGCU
This 861-nucleotide long non-coding RNA is filed under the name Salvator merianae (Argentine black and white tegu). RNAcentral describes it as "lncRNA (ENSSMRG00000001075.1)". The record is from RNAcentral. Lineage: Eukaryota; Metazoa; Chordata; Lepidosauria; Squamata; Teiidae.